GCCAUCGUAAGCGAUUUUCUUCUCAGCCUUCGUAGUUUUUGGUGCCAUAGAUUAUUAUUCGUUUUUUUUGGUGCCAUAGAUUAUUAUUCGAUUUUCUUCUCGACCUUGGUAGCUUUUGGUGCUAAGACGAAGAAAUGAGCGUCAAGGCGGACAUCAAAACGGCGCUGUCACUUUAACCUUCUCUUUGUUCAGAGUUAGGGUUUGGGGAAAGUGGGGAACAGAAGCAAGAAGCGGUGGAUGAAAAAAAACCAAAU
This 254-nucleotide long non-coding RNA is filed under the name Lupinus angustifolius (narrow-leaved blue lupine). Its description in RNAcentral is "long non-coding RNA (LANG_LNC000163)". The record is from RNAcentral. Lineage: Eukaryota; Viridiplantae; Streptophyta; Magnoliopsida; Fabales; Fabaceae.